ACGAACGCUGGCGGCGUGCUUAACACAUGCAAGUCGAACGGAAAGGCCCUGCUUUUGUGGGGUGCUCGAGUGGCGAACGGGUGAGUAACACGUGAGUAACCUGCCCUUGACUUUGGGAUAACUUCAGGAAACUGGGGCUAAUACCGGAUAGGAGCUCCUGCUGCAUGGUGGGGGUUGGAAAGUUUCGGCGGUUGGGGAUGGACUCGCGGCUUAUCAGCUUGUUGGUGGGGUAGUGGCUUACCAAGGCUUUGACGGGUAGCCGGCCUGAGAGGGGGACCGGCCACAUUGGGAAUGAGAUACGGCCCAGACUCCUACGGGAGGCAGCAGUGGGGAAUAUUGCACAAUGGGCGGAAGCCUGAUGCAGCAACGCCGCGUGCGGGAUGACGGCCUUCGGGUUGUAAACCGCUUUCGCCUGUGACGAAGCGUGAGUGACGGUAAUGGGUAAAGAAGCACCGGCUAACUACGUG
RNAcentral lists this ribosomal RNA (467 nucleotides) under uncultured bacterium. RNAcentral describes it as "partial 16S ribosomal RNA". It matches the Rfam family "Bacterial small subunit ribosomal RNA", at positions 29 to 507 of the family's 1533-position model. The record is from RNAcentral.